CCUACGGGAGGCAGCAGUAGGGAAUAUUGCUCAAUGGGGGAAACCCUGACGCAGCAACGCCGCGUGGAGGAUGAAGGUUUUCGGAUUGUAAACUUCUUUUGUUAGAGAAGAUAAUGACUGUAUCUAACGAAUAAGCACCGGCCAACUCCGUGCCAGCAGCCGCGGUAAUACGGAGGGUGCAAGCGUUACUCGGAAUCACUGGGCGUAAAGAGCGCGGAGGCGGGAAAGCAAGUCAGAUGUGAAAUCCUAUGGCUUAACCAUAGAACUGCAUUUGAUACUGUUAUUCUAGAGUAUGGGAGAGGUAGGUAGAAUUCUUGGUGUAGGGGUAAAAUGCGUAGAGAUCAAGAGGAAUACUCAUUGCGAAGGCGACCUGCUAGAACAUAACUGACGCUGAUGCGCGAAAGCGUGGGGAGCAAACAGGAUUAGAUACCCCAGUAGUC
This 440-nucleotide ribosomal RNA is filed under the name uncultured bacterium. RNAcentral describes it as "partial 16S ribosomal RNA". It matches the Rfam family "Bacterial small subunit ribosomal RNA", at positions 338 to 795 of the family's 1533-position model. The record is from RNAcentral.